Molecule: ribosomal RNA, 32 nt
Filed under: Nassauvia dentata
Lineage: Eukaryota; Viridiplantae; Streptophyta; Magnoliopsida; Asterales; Asteraceae
Description: partial 18S ribosomal RNA
Source: RNAcentral
UUUCCGUUGGUGAACCUGCGGAAGGAUCAUUG